RNAcentral lists this ribosomal RNA (443 nucleotides) under uncultured bacterium. RNAcentral describes it as "partial 16S ribosomal RNA". It matches the Rfam family "Bacterial small subunit ribosomal RNA", at positions 338 to 795 of the family's 1533-position model. The record is from RNAcentral.
CCUACGGGUGGCAGCAGUGGGGAAUAUUGGGCAAUGGGCGCAAGCCUGACCCAGCAACGCCGCGUGAAGGAAGAAGGCUUUCGGGUUGUAAACUUCUUUUCUCAGGGACGAAGAAAGUGACGGUACUUGCGGAAUAAGCUACGGCUAACUACGGGCCAGAAACCGCGGUAAUACGUAGGUGGCAAGCGUUAUCCGGAUUUAUUGGGUGUAAAGGGCGGGUAGGCGGGGGGGCAAGUCAGAUGUGAAAGCUCAGGGCUAAACCCGGAGCCUGCAUUUGAAACUGUGUUUCUUGAGUGCGGGAGAGGCAAUCGGAAUUCCGUGUGUAGCAGUGAAAUGCGUAGAUAUACGGAGGAACACCAGUGGCGAAGGCGGAUUGCUGGACAGUAACUGACGCUGAGGCGCGAAAGCGUGGGGAGCAAACAGGAUUAGAUACCCGAGUAGUC